Cavia porcellus (domestic guinea pig) is the source of this 3634-nucleotide long non-coding RNA. RefSeq lists it as uncharacterized. The record is from RefSeq and is a predicted model, not a curated record. Lineage: Eukaryota; Metazoa; Chordata; Mammalia; Rodentia; Caviidae. The transcript has 3 exons.
GAAAUGGAAGUAUCAGAAGCAUGCGAGAUUUUCUAUCUACAUGUGUGGACACUAAGAGAGUUGGAAUGUUUGACAGUCAAAAAAUGAUAAGUAGAUUUGAAGUACUCUCCUGUGGAACUCAGCUCACCAAAGCAAUUGAAAACUGACCAAGAUUCCAUCUUGAACUCAAGAGAGUUAAAAUAUAUUACGACUACUAUUGGUAAGUGUAGGGAGCGGCUCAGAAUGGCUGCCACUGUCCUGCCCCUCCCACCUGAGGGCAUUUUGUGUGUCAGCCUACAUUUCCCAUGAUCCUCCCCUUGCCUACAAUGUGAUGACAUAAGCACCUUCUUGCUUCAGCCUACAUCUUCCAUAAUCCCCUCUUGUUGACAUCACUUCCAGUUACCUAUGUGUCAACAUAUGACUUCCUGCUAGCCUGAUAGGCCCACGGCAUAUGAGGAGAUCCAAGCCGGCCCAUCCUGUAAAGCCAUAUCCCCUUUGACUCUAUAUAAGCCAUGUACACUUCCUGAAUAAACGGGACUUGAUUGGAAUUGGUCAUCUUGUCCUCGUCUCUCGUUUCUCUUGCCUAGCCCUCCAUCCCCUUCCCCUCUCCAGGCGAAGCCUAUGGACCGAUCCGCGGGCUGGAUCAGCACAGGGAAGCAGAGGUGAUGACCUGAAGAUCAACCGAUUGUGGACAAGACUAACACAAUAGCUGAGAGUUUCUCUCAAGGACUAACGUACUGCCUUUCCACAGAGACCAGGCCUCACGUCCGCCAAGUAAGGCGACCGGGCUCGGCUGCGGCUCCCAACACUCCUCUGCACACCGAUGGCUAGGCGCGGCUGGGCACAGGCCGAGGUGCCUCAGGAACCCGGGAUCCCUCCUCCUCCAGACAAAGGAAGGGGCUUCUGCAGGCGCUCUGGAUCCGCGCAGCUCCUCCUCUGCACACCGAUGGCUAGGCGCGACUGGGCACAGGCCGUGGUGCCUCAGGAACCCGGGAUCCCUCCUCCUCCAGACAAAUGAAGGGGCUUCUGCAGGCGCUCCGGAUCCGCGCAGCUCCUCCUCUUAAAAGAAGCUCAUGCUGUAUCUCAGGUUUUUAAAAAGUCAGCUUUUACAAAGUGGUGUAAUAGUGUGCAAGGUCUUCUUAAAAUACAAGCUGGUGACCAUUGUCCGUGGUUUCCUCCCAUUACUUCACUGCAUUCCCAUGUACUAAGCUCUGCACCAUUCUCAACAUGGUGUCUCGGUAGUUUUUCUCUCUAUCUGCUUACAACAUGUUUCUCUAUUAGGGCUUACUUUUUUGUCUUCUUUGACUACCAAAAUCAUCCAUAUGAAGCAGCUCAAAGGCCAUCUUUCUGUGAAGUCCUCUUCUCUUCCUUCAGACAAGUAAUCAUUUAUUGCUCUGUUUCCCAUAGAGCUGUGCUCAGGCUUUCAAGUGUGAUUAUAGUUUAUUGUAGCUCUCUUUAGUCUAUGAGUGCUAAUAAAGCAAAGACUCAUUUUAGCUUCCUUAGGGCCUCAAAGCUCAAGGAACAUUUUGUACAGAAGGGUGAAUGAAGGAUGAGUUUCUAUUGCUUUUGUGAUUCUUGUUACCCCUGAAAAAUUUAUUCAUGAUGAAAGUUCCUGAUCACUCAGUGAAUAUUCUAAGUACAUGAACUUUCCAGAUAAUAAAAUUACUUGAAAUAUUUUCGAAGGAAAAGAAUUUUCAAUGUAUGACUUUUCUGUAUCUGGCAGGGCAUUAAAAAGGGAAAUAUUUGGGAUCCACUUCUGUAAUUCCAGUUAUAAGUAGAGGAAACAUGCAGAUGGCUUAUUGGCAUUGAGAAACAAUCACUUGCAUUUCAGUUUAUAACUCACUCCAGUGCUGUGGCUACUCAGUGCUAUUCAAUUAAUAACAGCACUGAAAGAGAAUGUUUGUUCUCCAGGGACAAUAUCCCAGGAUAAGUUGGUUCAUUUCAUAGGAUUAAUUAUCAUAGGUCAGUGAUUAGUUACAAUUGGUCCUAAGUGAGAGACCAGAAAUAUGAGUAGACAUGGGAUUAUUAGGCAAAUGGUUAAAGAAAUUGAAAUAAUUAGAUGAAAGCCAAGAAUCAUAGGUUUUGCAUGUAUUCAGAUUUGGGGCCAUGUAUAAGAAGGUUAACACAUAAAACAGAAAGGGAUUUCAGUUCACAGUGUUCCUCCAGGGGCGAGGUUGGGGAAAUCCCUGAGGGGAGGGCAUAUCUUUACUGUGUUACAGAGAAGUCAGGCUCCGGUAGCAAGUUAACAACCAAAAUCGGCUGAUAAAAUGGUUGGUUCCUAGAGUCUGUCUCAUAUGGAAUGUAUAGGUGUUGGACAAAACCAAUGUUAAAAAACAUUGCAUAGGGAUUGCCUGGGAUUUUGACUAAGGGAAGAUUCAUUUUGAGGUGAUGGCUUUCUUCAUUUCCACUGUACUGCAAGUUAAUUCUGAUAACUGCUCGUCAUUAUUCCCACGAUGCUGGAAGAAUAUUCAGAAUAAUAGGGAUAAAUUACAGUAUUUCAUAACUAUUCAAAGACAGAUUUCAGAAUCAGAAAACCACGAUUUUGGGUUUCAACCAGAUGAGACUUGAAAAAUUUGAUGAUGCUGUUAGAGCUUUACAUUCCUCACCUGUGAAGCGGAAAUGCUUUUGGCCUCCUCGCGUACUCCUGAUCCAGAUUAAUAAGUGGUACGUAGAAUAUUUCAAGUAGUGCUUGGUGCAUGCUAAGCUCCGAAUUAACAUUAGUGAUUAUAUUUUAACUUUAGCACCAGGUUUAUUUUCAUUUUUAGGAUUGGUUUACUCAGAUUUAUUUCCAAGUGUAUCAGAAUUGUAAAAAGACAGCUGCAGUGUAAAAACAGGUAAUUUUUUUUUGUUUGUUUUUUUGUUUUUUUGUUUUUUUUUGUUCUGGACAUGUAAUGUUUAGUAAAACUCCAGUUAGGUUCUUCCCUAUGUGAAAUUAUCUUCCUGAUGAACUAUUAUACAAUACACAAUUGAAAUAAUAGCUAUUCUCUUAUUCUAUGCCUUCCCAAUAUCAGUGUAGCUCAGCAUUUUGAUUCCUCUUUUGUUUCUGUUUGCUGUAGGUAUGUCUUAAGACUAUGCAUAUAAUUGACUGACUUUUAUAGCAGAUUUCUUCAUUUUCACUAGACAUUCUGAAUUCAGGGACUGAGUUGAAUUGUACAUUGCAAGCCUAACUUCUAUAUUGCACAUGUAUCAUGGUAGCAAUGUCUCCUUUAAAAUGAUCAAUGAACGAAAUGCAUGGAUGAAUAGUGAAGGAAUGAAUGACCUGGAUAAGUCAACCCUUUUUGUUCAUAUUUCCUUUCUAAAAAUUCCUCCGAUUCCCAGGAAAUUUCUAUCUUUCCAGGAUGAGUUUGGGAGUUUAUCCUCCCAAAUCAUGAUAAUCUCUAUUAAGUAUUUUCAAGAAAAAUACUAUAUUCUUCUUUCUUCUUGUGGAAUUUGCAUCUUCAUUAAGGUUUAUAGGCAUUAUUAAUAUACACGGUAUAAUAGAAUAUUGUAUAAGAACAAGCUACAAACUGGGAGAUGAGCCACGUGUUUGAAGAAAUCGUUAAAUUUUUCAAGUGUUCUUCAAAAGGUGAAUGGUCCAGUCAGCUCAGUGUAUGCAUAAGUUUAACUUUAUACUAUGUUGAGUUUGUAUCCCGGAAUAAAGAAAUUGAUCUAUUUA